CCUACGGGAGGCAGCAGUGGGGAAUAUUGCACAAUGGGGGAAACCCUGAUGCAGCGACGCCGCGUGAGUGAAGAAGUUCUUCGUUAUGUAAAGCCCUAUCAGCAGGGAAGAAAAUGCCGGUACCUGAGUAUGAAGCUCCGGCUAACUACGUGCCAGCAGCCGCGGUAAUACGUAGGGGGCAAGCGUUCUCCGGAUUUACUGGGUGUAAAGGGAGCGUAGGCGGCAGUGCAAGUCUGGAGUGAAAGGCGGGGGCUCAACCCCCGGACUGCUCUGGAAACUGUACGGCUUGAGUGCAGGAGAGGUAAGUGGAAUUCCAAGUGUAGCGGGGAAAUGCGUAGAUAUAAGGAGGAACACCAGUGGCGAAGGCGGCUUACUGGACUGUAACUGACGUUGAGGCUCGAAAGCGUGGGGAGCAAACAGGAUUAGAUACCCCAGUAGUC
This 440-nucleotide ribosomal RNA is filed under the name uncultured bacterium. RNAcentral's name for it is "partial 16S ribosomal RNA". It matches the Rfam family "Bacterial small subunit ribosomal RNA", at positions 338 to 795 of the family's 1533-position model. The record is from RNAcentral.